This 148-nucleotide unclassified non-coding RNA is filed under the name uncultured Teratosphaeria. Its description in RNAcentral is "sequence contains ITS2". The record is from RNAcentral. Lineage: Eukaryota; Fungi; Ascomycota; Dothideomycetes; Mycosphaerellales; Teratosphaeriaceae.
CACCACUCCAGCCUCGCUGGGUAUUGGGCUCCGCGGCCUCCGCGCGCCUCAAUGUCUCCGGCCGAGCCGACCGUCUCCAAGCGUUGUGGCACAACUGUUUCGCUUUCGGGACCGGUCCGGCGACGCGCCGUUAAACCCUUUCUCCAAA